UUGGGUGCAAGGAAGCCAGGCAGACCCACACUGGGGGACCUGCAACUUCCACCAGCAGCUGACCGGUGGGCCCUUGGGACCUGGGCACUCUUGCCUCUGUCUCUGCACAGCUGGCGCGGCAGCAACUGUUCCCGUCCUGCUUCACAGAUGACAAACAGGCUCAGAGAGGAGAGGUGACUUGCUGAGGCCACACCUCAGUGGACAGUGGUGCUGGCUGGCAUUCAGACUCAGGUCCCUCCGAUUCCAGAAGCUUCCACCCCCCAACCGCCCGGCCCACCGCUGAUGCUGGCUGCCUUCCUCUACUUCAAGCUCCUCCUGGUGGGACGGCCCACAGAAGAACACCUGGAUAAAGGUCUCAGCCUCAGUGUUACUUCCUCCAGAAAGCCCACCCUGACUGCUGCAUCUGGGUGGGUGACCCUGCUGCCACCCUAGCCCUGGGUUUUCUUCCUCGGAGCACUCAACACCUGGUAUCUGGAGCUCGUAAGGAGCUAACUGUUCCAACUGGAACAAGUCUGCCCAGGGUCUGCUUCCUGGAGACGGAACCCACCACCCCUCCCCACUGUCUGAUCGCAGGAGGGGAGGCCGACAUACCUCGGGCAGGUGGUGGCUGAGGCAGUAGCGGUGGCUGCAGAGCUCGCAGAACUGGCCCAGGGUUGUGACGCCGGCUGUGCACUUGGCAAAGCCGCAGGUGUUAUCAGCCUUAACGGCGGCAGAAACCAGGGCCUCAAAGUCCUCCUCCGUGGGCAGAGCUGUGGCCGGAUGUCCUGGAGAAGACCCGCGUCACUCAGGCAAACGGAAAGACAACACCUGGCCCCUCAUUUAAGGCCCCUCCUGCUGCCGCAGACAUGCUCUGAGUGCUGCCUACUUGCUGAGUUCCACACAGGCUCUGGGACAAGAAGGUGCCCGUGACCUGAUCACCGACCUAGGGGAGCCCAGACGGAGCUGGGAGUGGCAUGACUGAAAAUAAAGCUAAAAUGACACAGGCACGGCGCCACCAGGAGGAAGCCCUUCCUUCUGUUGAUGGUGGCAGGUGGGCUCCAAGUGGGGCCAGCACCAGUGAGGGGACACUGCCCCAUGUUCUUAUUAGUUGACUUACCUUUGGCUUCUUUUUUCUUUUUCUUUUCUGGAAGUUUCUGCUGCCCUGAGGCCUGCUGCUCCUUGCUGGCGGGCUGCCUCUGCGCGUUUCUGACUCUCUGCAGUCUCUCCAGGUGCAGCGUCCUCAGAUCAGGCUGGUCUGGGCCACGCUGCUCCCUCGGAGGCUGCUCCGUCUGCGCAGGGCUAGCGGGCACUGGCUGGAGAGGGGCUGGGCCACCGGUCCCUGCUGGGGGUCCCAGGGCUGCUCGGGGUCGCAGGGCCGGCGGGGCCCUCUUGCUCACAGUGAUGAACCUCCUCUUCCCUUCCCCGGAACUGUCGUGCCUCAGCCCGUGCUCCUCGGCUAUUUGGUGGACCCGCAGCCUGUCGUGGGAAUUGAGGGAAGGAGGAAACUCCAACUGCAUCUUCUUGCUGGCCAUGAACUCCACUAUCAUGGCCCGGAAGUGGUCCACGCCAUCUUGGCUCUCCACUCCCUCUGGGCUGCCUCCGUUGAGGCUGGGCUGAGAUGGGGCUUCAGAGGCCAGAGACUUCCCAGCCGGCUUCUUCCGGCCCUGUCUGGCAGGUGCUGUGGCCUCCUGGCCUCCCUCCUGCCGCUGGCUUCCGGUCCUGGUGGACGUAGCAGGUCCCUGGGGCUUGGUGGCAGCGUGGCUGGAACCCUGGGAGCUCUCAUGGGAAUAGUUUUCUGGGACAAUAUCGUCAAGAUACUCAAAGGCCGUGCGUACUUCCCCAUGCUGUGUGAAAUACUCCACCAGGGUCUUCAAAAAUGCAUGGUUGUUGACAGUACGGGAGUCACAGAUGACCGCCACGUGGCGUCGGGCACGGGUGACAGCCACGUUGAUCCUCCGGUCCUCAGCAAGAAAACCAACUUCACCUACAAAAGGCCAGAGGGGAGUGAGAAGCAGGUUUCAGACUAAGAAACACAGUCAGGCUCCUAUGCCCUUAUCAGUAACCACCACCAAAAGUGUGGUCCCCUGUGCGUGGUCCACCAUCCACACGGCUGCCCGGCCACGUGUGGCACCGUGAUGCCACACCUGCCCUGGCAUCUGGCUGCCACGGCUGACUGAGUGGGGCUCUGGGGAACCCAACUGGGUUCUGUCACUCCUUUCCUUCUAAGCCCAGCCUCAGGGGCCGCCUGGGGUGUGGCUGCAGCUGGCACCAGGGAGAAAGCACAAGAAACCUUCCAGGACCUUCCCUUCUUUCCCCCAUAGCUUCUAGCCAGGCCUCAUCUGCCUUCUGCCUUCUGAGAAUGUCUCACAAAGCCCGUUCACUAAACCUGCUUCUGGGAACAACUCUCAUCCCAAAUGGGAAAGCCCACACACCACAGCAGCACAGAAACCACAGCCACGACCACCACACCCCGCGGCUCCGUGCAUGGAGGCUAAAGGCCAGCUCUGGGCUGCAGGGGGCUCCACCUCCUCGGCAGGGUGUCCUGAUCAUUCCCAGCCCACCCUGCACCCCCAGCUGCCACCCCAGCCACCUGCUCCCUGACAGCACACUCAUGCCUCUGAGCCUCCGCAGACUCUCCUGCCUGUGCUUUGCCUGACGUGAACUUACUAAGGACAGAAGCUGCACCAUGAGCACACUGCCAGAAACCAGUGUGGCACCCAGCAGACACCCAAUAUGCCCCUCAAUCAAUAAAUUCACUUCUGUGCUGUCCCCAAAGGACUCUGGCGAGGGCUCCGUACCUUUCCUGUUGGAUCUGACGAAGGACAGUAUCACGGCCUCCUUCUCUCGGCCUUGGAAGCCAUCGACAGACUUGAUUUCAAGCUCGGGGUGCCUGUGCACAAGGCUCUGUCUGAGCAGGUCCACCUGAAACACCAGCCGGGCUGUGGUUUCCUCACCCCCCAUGCCAGCGCAGCAAGACCCUGCCCUUCAGCUCAGCAGAGGGCCUCACGCUGCGAAACAGCCAGGACCUGGGAAGCGGAGCCUGCAGGAGCCCCAUGGGGAAAGGCUUCCCGUCCGCCCUCCUCACGGGCACGCAUGCACGCCAACACCACACCCUGUCCCUGGCAUUUGAUCAUUUCUUUUGGCUUAUGACAGCCGCCAGCCUCAGACAGCCCUAUGUGUGAUGCCUGCACACCAGGAAGGUUGUGUGAGCCCCAGCUGCUCUGUAGAGGGACAAAAGGAAACCCUCAUACCUGGAGGUUGUAUGGCGAGACCACGGCAAUGUCACGGGCUGGAACACCAGCGUCCACCAGAGCCUGGAUGUGCAAACUGACGAGGCGGACUUCGCCUGGAGGGAAAGAAAGAACAGGUGAGCAGCACAAGGUCGCCCCAAGCGGGCAUCCACCACCAACACAUGUUUCGGGCACGUUUCUGUCUAUCAUGGCCAGCUGAUCCUCCACUCAGGUGGCUUCCUGGGAGCUAAUCAUCUGUGUCCCAGGGCCCCAGGGCCCCAGGACCAGCCAUGCCCAACUAACUUGAAUUUCACAUCAGCAAUGAAGGCCUUUUGACUCCUAUGGCCGUGCAUCCUGUUCAAUGUGGAACUGGGGAGAUGGUGGUGUCAGCUGAGCAAUGACAGUUCCCAUCACCAGACCAGCCAGGCAGAGCUGGGCCACCAUUCAGGAGAAGGCCGUAAAAUGCUGCCAGGCCCAUCUCACCCAGGAGCGGGCUGCUCACCCUGGAGAAAAUGAUGCUGCUCAGCCUCUUGCAGUGUGGGGCUCCGUUUUUUCACGGCCAUCAACAACUGCUCUCAGCUCCUCCCGGAAUUAGGCAAUUUAAGUGCCUUUUAUUUUUAAAGAGCUGGAGGUAUGUUUAAACAAAAAAGCUGGCCAUCUGCAAGCAAGCUCACCAGGGUUCCCUUUCGACUGUUCGUCCUCCUCCUCCAGCUCAAACAGCCCGCAGCCGGCGGUGUCCACCAGGAGCAGGGGCACACCCGUCUCUUCUGUGGCAGCCACACCUGGGAGGUCCCUGGCACACAGGCAGAGAGGGAGUACAUCAGGGGGGCCACAGUGCAGCACUGAGGCCCCACCCAACAGAACCGACCCCUCCCAUGAGGAAAAGGCUUAGGUAGGGGAGGACAAUGAGCACAUCAGGACAUCAGAUGGGAGGGAGUGGGCCUGACCCAGCUCUCCAGGGCAAGGCCACCCUCUCUUCCAAAAAGCUAGCCUCAGAGUCGACUUUCAUGCAGAAAGCUUCACUUUAGCUUGCUGCGUAGAAACAGGUGACGCAGAGGAUUAGCCAGGGCAGAAGGAUGGGGCGGCGGGUGGGGCCGAGCUACUCACCUCAGGAGGUGCCCUGCCACGGAAGAGUGGGCUGUGAGCUGCCCAAGGUACAUGGUGUCCGAGGCCCAGCGCAUGAUAGCCUGGUGCAUGCGGUACUGCACCGUCAGUGUCCGCACCACCCUCGCGCCGUACUCCUCAGCCAGGCGUUCCAUCAGGCUGAGCGACAGCCCUGCCAGCGCAGCCCUGCGCCCAGGAGGGAGAAAGGGGGAAGGCAGGCCUGAGCCCCAGAGUCCAGGUGUGAACCACAGCAAGUGAGGAGGACAGGCCCCAAACCUCAGGACCCAACUCUCCCCUGGAUUCUGACCCAGAAGUCACCAAGGGGUGGGUUUGGCUGAAUCACAGCCCCAAAGGCACCUACAUCCAAUCGCCAAGGCCCGUGAAUGUUCCCUUACAGGACAACAGGGACGCUGCAGCUGAGAUGAAGUUAAGGAUCCUGGGAUGGGGAGGCGACCCUGGAUGACCCAGGUGAUAACCCAAGGGUCUUAUAAGGGGGCAUACGAGGGUCAGUCAGAGAAGGUCACCGAGGGGAGAGAUUUGAAGACGUAACACGGCUGGCUUCAUAGACAGAGGAAAGGGCGACAAGUCAAGCAAUGGCCUCUAGGAGCCGGAAAAGACUAGGAGAUGGGUUUUCCCCUGGACCCUCCAGAAGAAGCAACCCCACCCACACCUUCAUUUUAAGCCGGUGAGUCUGAUUUUGGACAUCUGACCCCCAGAUUGUCGUUUCUGGAGGUCAGAAAAUCUGUUGUUGUCAGCCACUAAGCUUGUGGUCAUUUGUCACAGCCAUAACAGGGAACGAACACACUCCAACAUGCUCCAACUGUGAGCAGUCAAGUCCACUCCCACCAAGAACGGCUGCAGCGGCUGAGCACUGCCCAGGUGUCAGGCACUGCUGGGUGCGCCAGAUGUGGAUUAACUCCCUUCAUCCUUAUAACAACCUCAUGAGGUGGCUACUGUUAUGACUCCCAUGUUACAUGUAAGAAGGGUGAGACAGAGGAGGCUGCCAGCCCACAGCUGCCUGGGUGAGCUGCAGAGCCUGGACCUGCCCGGGCCACCUGGUGCCAGAGCCCACCCUCUGCACCACUACGGCUCACCAACCCCACCAAAACCCUGGGGCAGUACCCAGCUCCACUUCAGAGACCUUCCCUCUGGAAACUUACCAGACCUCUGUGAUUAACGUAUUUUUAAUUCCAACAAAGUGAGGACAGGACACAAUGAUCAGUACCAAUUGCAAACCCAAAACACUCAGCGCCAACGUCCUCCCCCAAAAACCAUCCUACUCUCUGCAGGGAACGCCACCCAACGUCUUUCCCCGAAACCAUCCUACUCUCUCCAGGGAACGCCACCCAACGUCUUCCCCCGAAACCAUCCUACUCUCUCCAGGGAACGCCACCCAAUGUUUUCCCCAAAACCAUCCUACUGUCUCCAGGGAAUGCCACCCAAUGUUUUCCCUGAAACCAUCCUACUCUCUCCAGGGAACGCCACCCAACGUCUUCCCCCAAAACCAUCCUACUCUCUCCAGGGAACGCCACCCAACGUCUUCCCCCAAAACCCUCCUACUCUCUGCAGGGAACGCCACCCAACGUCUUCCCCCGAAACCAUCCUACUCCCUCCUACACAACAGGGUCCCUGCUCAAGGGCACAGUUCCAAACUUCCCCCACCCAAAGGCUUUCCCGAGGAUGAAGACCUCCUUUAAGGACAUCUCGAGAACCUCUCCCUGGAAGAAGCCACUGAAUAAGCGUCCUCCCACGCCUGUCCUCCCUGCUCCCAGGGAGGUUCUGAUGGCAGUGGCUGCUGCCAUCAUGCCGGCUGCAGCAGGGAACCCUGGCUGUGGCUGCACACUCCAUGAAGCCAGUGGGAGCCCCGCCCCUUCUGAGGUGGAGUGGCCGCUGCAGCCCAGACACAGGGUCACAGCUACAGACCCAGGCCUCCUGCUCCAGGAGGGCGGGGCUACAGCCGCCCAAACUGCAGCUGUGGAUCUGCGUCUCCCGGUGCUCUUAGGGGAGCCGGGAACAGGUAGGAUUUGCCUUUCCGCGUGCAGCUGCAGCCGCCAGACCUGUGGCUGCAGACCUGGGCUUCCUGCUCCACGAAGCAGGCAGGAGCCGGGAACAAGCAGGAGCCUGGCCUCUUCUGAGGUGGUGGGGUGGGAGCUCUUGGGUGCAGCUGUAGCUGCCCUCCCACUCUGCAGCCUGCACCCUCAGGCGCCCCAGGAAGGACAACCCCCCCACCGUCCCUGCAGGGUCAUGGGUGUCUGCUUCCACUGCCUGGCCUCUCUCAGCUCCCAGCACCCACUCGGAUCUCAGAGUGGGAUUGGAGCCAAGCCCCGGGGCCAUGAAUGGCAGCAGGAGGCAGACAGAGUCCUGAGUGGAAGGGGACGGUGGAAGGCCAGGGAGGGCCUGAAGGCUGGCGGCUGGGCUGCCAGUCCUGUGGAACAGAGUGAGGACUCAUGGUACCUAUUCCAGGCCCGCCCAUGGCCACCCAUGGACCAAUUGGCACAUCCUUCCUUGCCUCUUGAGGUCCAUAAAAGCCCUGGGCUCAGUCAGAGAAGGCGAGAGGACAGCCAGAGGACGGAGAGGGCAGAGAGGAGCUAUGCUCUCUGCUGAGAGCUUCAGAGACCUGCAGAGAUGUCCGAGUGACUUGCCUGCAGAGAGGAGCCACCCUCUCCAGGGCCUCCUCUGCUGACAGCUGAACACUCAACGGAUGACCUGCCUACAGAGAGGAGCUACCCACUACUCUGAGCUGUUCUAACACUAAAUAAAACUGUUCUUCACCCUUCA
Pan troglodytes (chimpanzee) is the source of this 7091-nucleotide long non-coding RNA. RefSeq lists it as uncharacterized. NCBI's taxonomy places the organism in Eukaryota, Metazoa, Chordata, Mammalia, Primates, Hominidae. The transcript is spliced from 6 exons. The record is from RefSeq and is a predicted model, not a curated record.